GCCGGGUGCAGUGGCUCACACCUGUAAUCCCAGCAACUCGGGAGGCUGAGACAGGAGGAUUUCGAGUUCCAGCCUCAGCAACUCAGUGAGACCCUCUCUCUA
RNAcentral lists this small RNA (102 nucleotides) under Marmota monax (woodchuck). Lineage: Eukaryota; Metazoa; Chordata; Mammalia; Rodentia; Sciuridae. The record is from RNAcentral.